CGAGGCUCAGUGAAUGGCAGGCUCUGGACGCAGCUCACCCAACAAGCUGGGACUUGAAGUUUCUAAGCCCAGGCCAGGUCAUUUCCUCUUGCUCUCCUCUGUCCCCUGGAGACUUCUUGUCUGCUGUCCUGUUUGUUGAGUAUCAUCUCUUCUCAUCUCAUCUGUGUGUGGAGCUAUGUGGCAGAGAGGAGCGGGUCACCUCUUUGUGCCUUGCAUUCCCCUUUGUGAUACCGACGAGAGGGAGAGAUUCUGCUGCACACAGAGGCAAGACGACCCACCCCAAUCCCUGCAAGCCAGAUCCUGUGAAGACAGCAGACCAGCCAGUAUCCACAGCAGCCCCGUGCAAUAGGCAUGACUAGCAAGUCCCAUGCUACAAUGAGAAAACCAGUGCUCGCACCUCUUACCCACUUAGAGGAAGACAGGGUCCUCUGAAGCCAGAUUCUUUUUCUCACAACAGAUGGAUUUCUGGAAUAUUCUAGGAUGUCAAGCUGAGGCAGGCUUCCUGUAAGGUUAGGAGUAGUAUGGUUGAUGAUAUCCAAAAUGAGCCCAGUAGAUGGAAGAGGGGUCUUGGGGGUGCCUGGUGUCAUACAUAGGCAGGUUGUAGACACAGGGUGAGUGGGAGCCAUUCCCUGUCCAUGUCUUCCUCUGAGCAAUCUCCCACUCCACGCUUCUGUUCCCUUCAUCUGUGAAGUGUCUACAGGUGGACUUGUUUCGUCUCCAUUCUGUCCCUGACACCUGCUCCUUUCCAGGACAGAUACUAAGAUGGACUGGACAAGCCACCCCCAUAUAACACCACUUCAUGUUUAGACCAGCGACUUCUCAAGGUGUUUUUGAUUUUGUGUUCUAGCAAUUAAAAAAAAAAAAACAAACAAAGCUGCGUAU
Molecule: long non-coding RNA, 882 nt
Organism: Mus musculus (house mouse)
Lineage: Eukaryota; Metazoa; Chordata; Mammalia; Rodentia; Muridae
Product: cDNA sequence BE949265
Exons: 2
Source: RefSeq, marked validated